AUUGUCAGCUCUGCUCAGCGACCAGCCAGGGACCUGGGGCUCCCUCAGACCAACGUGGAAUACAUUCAGACCGAUGCAGCUAUUGACUUUGGAAAUUCUGGUGGUCCCCUGGUUAACCUGAUUCCUGGUUUGGAAUCAGUGGGUCCCAACGCCGCUACAUUGGAGUGAUGAUGCUGACUCUGACCCCCAGCAUCCUUGCUGAGCUACAGCUCCGAGAGCCAAGUUUCCCUGAUGUUCAGCAUGGUGUCCUCAUUCAUAAAGUUAUCCUGGGCUCCCCUGCACACAGGGCUGGCCUGCGGCCUGCUGAUGUGAUCUUGGCCAUUGGGGAGAAAAUGAUACAAAAUGCUGAAGAUGUUUAUGAGGC
RNAcentral lists this long non-coding RNA (364 nucleotides) under Rattus norvegicus (Norway rat). RNAcentral describes it as "long non-coding RNA NONRATT021521". The record is from RNAcentral. Lineage: Eukaryota; Metazoa; Chordata; Mammalia; Rodentia; Muridae.